This 463-nucleotide ribosomal RNA is filed under the name uncultured bacterium. RNAcentral describes it as "bacterial SSU rRNA". It matches the Rfam family "Bacterial small subunit ribosomal RNA", at positions 50 to 507 of the family's 1533-position model. The record is from RNAcentral.
AACACAUGCAAGUCGAGGGGCAGCACGAGGUAGCAAUACUUUGGUGGCGACCGGCGCACGGGUGCGUAACGCGUAUGCAACCUACCUUUAACAGGGGCAUAACACUGAGAAAUUGGUACUAAUUCCCCAUAACAUUCGAGAAGGCAUCUUCUUGGGUUAAAAACUCCGGUGGUUAAAGAUGGGCAUGCGUUGUAUUAGCUAGUUGGUGAGGUAACGGCUCACCAAGGCAACGAUACAUAGGGGGACUGAGAGGUUAACCCCCCACAUUGGUACCGAGACACGGACCAAACUCCUACGGGAGGCAGCAGUGAGGAAUAUUGGUCAAUGGACGCAAGUCUGAACCAGCCAUGCCGCGUGCAGGAAGACGGCUCUAUGAGUUGUAAACUGCUUUUGUACUAGGGUAAACGCUUCUACGUGUAGGAGCCUGAAAGUAUAGUACGAAUAAGGAUCGGCUAACUCCGUG